ACUGUAAGCUGUGGCCUCACCAGGCA
Molecule: non-coding RNA, 26 nt
Filed under: Homo sapiens (human)
Lineage: Eukaryota; Metazoa; Chordata; Mammalia; Primates; Hominidae
Source: RNAcentral